GAUGAACGCUGGCUACAGGCUUAACACAUGCAAGUCGAGGGGAAACGACGGGGAAGCUUGCUUCCCCGGGCGUCGACCGGCGCACGGGUGAGUAACGCGUAUCCAACCUGCCUCUGACUGAGGGAUAACCCGUCGAAAGUCGGCCUAAUACCUCAUGGCAUCGUCUGCGGGCAUCCAACGACGAUUAAAGAUUUCAUCGGUCAGGGAUGGGGAUGCGUCUGAUUAGCUUGUUGGCGGGGUAACGGCCCACCAAGGCUACGAUUAGUAGGGGUUCUGAGAGGAAGGUCCCCCACAUUGGAACUGAGACACGGUCCAAACUCCUACGGGAGGCAGCAGUGAGGAAUAUUGGUCAAUGGGCGGGAGCCUGAACCAGCCAAGUAGCGUGCAGGAUGACGGCCCUAUGGGUUGUAAACUGCUUUUAGGCGGGGAUAAAGUGAGGGACGUGUCCUUCAUUGCAGGUACCGCAUGAAUAAGGACCGGCUAAUUCCGUG
This 491-nucleotide ribosomal RNA is filed under the name uncultured bacterium. RNAcentral's name for it is "partial 16S ribosomal RNA". It matches the Rfam family "Bacterial small subunit ribosomal RNA", at positions 28 to 507 of the family's 1533-position model. The record is from RNAcentral.